UCACUUCUCAUUAGGCGGUGA
Molecule: non-coding RNA, 21 nt
Filed under: Caenorhabditis elegans
Lineage: Eukaryota; Metazoa; Nematoda; Chromadorea; Rhabditida; Rhabditidae
Source: RNAcentral